RNAcentral lists this ribosomal RNA (365 nucleotides) under uncultured Streptococcus sp. RNAcentral's name for it is "bacterial SSU rRNA". It matches the Rfam family "Bacterial small subunit ribosomal RNA", at positions 1017 to 1382 of the family's 1533-position model. Lineage: Bacteria; Bacillati; Bacillota; Bacilli; Lactobacillales; Streptococcaceae. The record is from RNAcentral.
UUCGGGGGGACAGGGUGACAGGUGGUGCAUGGUUGUCGUCAGCUCGUGUCGUGAGAUGUUGGGUUAAGUCCCCGCAACGAGCGCAACCCUCGACCUUAGUUGCCAGCAUUCAGUUGGGCACUCUAAGGUGACUGCCGGCUAAAAGUCGGAGGAAGGUGGGGAUGACGUCAAAUCAUCAUGCCCCUUAUGACCUGGGCUACACACGUGCUACAAUGGUUGGUACAACGAGUUGCGAGUCGGUGACGGCGAGCUAAUCUCUUAAAGCCAAUCUCAGUUCGGAUUGUAGGCUGCAACUCGCCUACAUGAAGUCGGAAUCGCUAGUAAUCGCGGAUCAGCACGCCGCGGUGAAUACGUUCCCGGGCCUU